CAGAGCUGUCACUCCAAGAUCAAAGAGCUUUUCUCUGAGAAGAUCUAUUUGAUUGGCAUUGCUGCCUUGGUUGUGGCUGUCAUCAUGAUCUUCGAGAUGAUCUUCAGCAUGGUGCUUUGCUGCGGCAUCAGGAACAGCCCUGUUUACUGAAACAGAGGGGCAAGAUAAUUACCUUUAAAACAUCAGCCAAAAAAAAAAUUUUUGUUUUAUAUCUACCAUUGUUUCUUAAUGUAGUCAACCUAUCCAGUUCCCGAAGUCUCAGAACAAUUUGUGUGCAUUUUUUGUUCAAAUGUUGCCGUGGAACCACCAACAACUAGUCUGCUAUUGUUCACGCUGUAGUUGGUAAAGACCAGUUGUGAUCUGUAGACUUACACACACACAGAGUACAUUAUCACAUGAAGAAUGGAUACAUUUAUUUGCUUGUAGUUUUUUUUGUGUUAACUGUUAAGUUCUGCUAUUGCUAUCGGUUAAUAUAAUUCUUUUCGUAUGUACAUGUAUAAACUGUAUAUAUUUGCAGCCCUGUAUGGCUCUUAAGCAUGAAUCUCAUAUUGAACACUCGUGUCCAUCUUCCUCUCUGAGACUGCUGUUUGUAUGUUCACGUUUCUUCCUGAGAAACCACUAAAUAAACAGUGUUAGCUAGGUGAUAGAGAAA
Long non-coding RNA from Sinocyclocheilus rhinocerous, 652 nucleotides. RefSeq lists it as uncharacterized. Lineage: Eukaryota; Metazoa; Chordata; Actinopteri; Cypriniformes; Cyprinidae. The record is from RefSeq and is a predicted model, not a curated record. The transcript is spliced from 2 exons.